GCUCUGUGGGAUCAGUGGCGAACGGGUGAGUAACACGUGAGCAACCUGCCCCUGACUCUGGGAUAAGCGCUGGAAACGGCGUCUAAUACUGGAUACGAGUAGCGACCGCAUGGUCAGUUACUGGAAAGAUUUAUUGGUUGGGGAUGGGCUCGCGGCCUAUCAGCUUGUUGGUGAGGUAAUGGCUCACCAAGGCGUCGACGGGUAGCCGGCCUGAGAGGGUGACCGGCCACACUGGGACUGAGACACGGCCCAGACUCCUACGGGAGGCAGCAGUGGGGAAUAUUGCACAAUGGGCGCAAGCCUGAUGCAGCAACGCCGCGUGAGGGAUGACGGCCUUCGGGUUGUAAACCUCUUUUAGCAGGGAAGAAGCGAAAGUGACGGUACCUGCAGAAAAAGCGCCGGCUAACUACGUGCCAGCAGCCGCGGUAAUACGUAGGGCGCAAGCGUUAUCCGGAAUUAUUGGGCGUAAAGAGCUCGUAGGCGGUUUGUCGCGUCUGCUGUGAAAUCCGGAGGCUCAACCUCCGGCCUGCAGUGGGUACGGGCAGACUAGAGUGCGGUAGGGGAGAUUGGAAUUCCUGGUGUAGCGGUGGAAUGCGCAGAUAUCAGGAGGAACACCGAUGGCGAAGGCAGAUCUCUGGGCCGUAACUGACGCUGAGGAGCGAAAGGGUGGGGAGCAAACAGGCUUAGAUACCCUGGUAGUCCACCCCGUAAACGUUGGGAACUAGUUGUGGGGUCCAUUCCACGGAUUCCGUGACGCAGCUAACGCAUUAAGUUCCCCGCCUGGGGAGUACGGCCGCAAGGCUAAAACUCAAAGGAAU
RNAcentral lists this ribosomal RNA (818 nucleotides) under Microbacterium foliorum. RNAcentral's name for it is "bacterial SSU rRNA". It matches the Rfam family "Bacterial small subunit ribosomal RNA", at positions 81 to 910 of the family's 1533-position model. Lineage: Bacteria; Bacillati; Actinomycetota; Actinomycetes; Micrococcales; Microbacteriaceae. The record is from RNAcentral.